UACGAAGGGGGCUAGCGUUGCUCGGAAUCACUGGGCGUAAAGGGUGCGUAGGCGGGUUUUUAAGUCAGGGGUGAAAUCCUGGAGCUCAACUCCAGAACUGCCUUUGAUACUGAAGAUCUCGAGUCCGGGAGAGGUGAGUGGAACUGCGAGUGUAGAGGUGAAAUUCGUAGAUAUUCGCAAGAACACCAGUGGCGAAGGCGGCCAACUGGUCCGGUACUGACGCUGAGGUGCGAAAGCGUGGGGAGCAAACAGG
RNAcentral lists this ribosomal RNA (253 nucleotides) under uncultured bacterium. Its description in RNAcentral is "partial 16S ribosomal RNA". It matches the Rfam family "Bacterial small subunit ribosomal RNA", at positions 524 to 776 of the family's 1533-position model. The record is from RNAcentral.